GACCGCGACCCCAGGUCAGGCGGGAUUACCC
RNAcentral lists this ribosomal RNA (31 nucleotides) under Rehmannia glutinosa. RNAcentral describes it as "partial 26S ribosomal RNA". The record is from RNAcentral. Lineage: Eukaryota; Viridiplantae; Streptophyta; Magnoliopsida; Lamiales; Orobanchaceae.